UUUUUUUUUAUUUUUAGGUUGAACUAAACAAGGCCUAAAAGCUAGACUGUCCCACUCCUAUAUGUACUAGUGACGAGGAAGUCGUUGAUCGAAGUAGAGAGGAUCAUGAAUUACCCACGGACACACACACACACACAUGGCAUCUCAAGGCAAGUUAUGUUGCAUGCAUGAAUAAUGUUUCAGUGGCCAGGCCAGAAACGCAAACCGACCUGCCAAUUAUAUAUGCCACCAGAUUCCCCAAUCCAAUGAGCCUCGACACGUACGCACAACGGCACAAGGAG
RNAcentral lists this long non-coding RNA (281 nucleotides) under Sorghum bicolor (sorghum). RNAcentral describes it as "long non-coding RNA (SBIC_LNC013059)". Lineage: Eukaryota; Viridiplantae; Streptophyta; Magnoliopsida; Poales; Poaceae. The record is from RNAcentral.